GGCGGAGUGGCCUAGAGGUUCAAGGCGUUAGCCCCGAUUGCUAAAGACGCUGGUUCGAAUCCGGCCUUCACCA
Non-coding RNA from Cydia pomonella (codling moth), 73 nucleotides. Lineage: Eukaryota; Metazoa; Arthropoda; Insecta; Lepidoptera; Tortricidae. The record is from the annotation of a RefSeq genome assembly.